This 540-nucleotide ribosomal RNA is filed under the name Anotogaster sieboldii. RNAcentral's name for it is "12S ribosomal RNA". The stretch from base 181 to 533 matches the Rfam family "Microsporidia small subunit ribosomal RNA", at positions 752 to 1303 of the family's 1311-position model. Lineage: Eukaryota; Metazoa; Arthropoda; Insecta; Odonata; Cordulegastridae. The record is from RNAcentral.
GGUUAAACGAGGGGGAAGAGUGAAUAUUAUUGGUUAAAUAGUUAAUUUUUAAAAAUUUAUAAAAUAAUAAUUUUUAGGUGAAAUUUAUAAUUAUUAAUUAAAAAUUUAUAUUGAAACUAUGAAAUUUAUUUUAAAAACAAGGAUUAGAUACCCUUUUAUUAUAAAUGUGAAUAUAAACCUGGGUAGUACUAGUUAUGAUCUUGAAACCCAAAGGAUUUGGCGGUAUUUUAUUCUAAUCAGAGGAACCUGUCCCGUUAUCGAUAAUCCACGAUGGAAUUUACAGAGUUAAUAUUCUUUUUAUUAAAAAUAUGAAAUGUCAGGUCAAGGUGCAAUUCAUAAUCAAGAGGAGAUGGGUUACAAUAAAUUUAUUUAUAUGGAUUAAGUUAUUUAAAAAUUUAUGAAAGUGGAUUUGACAGUAAUUUUAUUUACUAGAUAUUAUGAUUUUGGCUCUAAAAUAUGCACACAUCGCCCGUCGCUCUCUCUAUAAAGAGAGAUAAGUCGUAACAUAGUAAGUGUAUCGGAAGAUGUACUUAGAAAGUA